This 60-nucleotide microRNA precursor is filed under the name Euprymna scolopes. RNAcentral describes it as "Esc-Mir-12_pre stem-loop". The record is from RNAcentral. Lineage: Eukaryota; Metazoa; Mollusca; Cephalopoda; Sepiida; Sepiolidae.
UGAGUAUUACAUCAGGUACUGAUGAUCAAUUCAACUUUAGUACAUUUUGUAAUAUUUGCA